Molecule: ribosomal RNA, 174 nt
Filed under: Triticum aestivum (bread wheat)
Lineage: Eukaryota; Viridiplantae; Streptophyta; Magnoliopsida; Poales; Poaceae
Description: partial small subunit ribosomal RNA
Source: RNAcentral
AUGGCAUCCCUAACGGUGCUCAUCUCAUGGUCCAUUUGGAAUGACAGGAACGCGAGGGUAUUUACAAACAAAGGCGCACCACAGUUGAUCCUUCUCGACAACAUUAAGAAGGAUGCCUCGCUUUGGGUGGCCGCGAGCGCCAACAAGCUAGGGACAAUCAUGCCGGUAGAGUAA